ACAUUAUUUGUUGGUCAUUGUGCUGCAGUGGAAGAACAUUGUUCAUGUGCUGUCUGUCUGGCUUUAAUAACUCCAAAGACAUGUUGCUGCACCUCUUUUUGCUUCUAUCUCACAUUAUAGGACUCACAGCUGGAGACUCAAUCACUCCUGAACGAACUGAAGUCACUGAAACAGAAGGAGAACCUGUCACACUCACAUGUAACUAUGAGACAACUUCAAGUUAUCCUUGGCUUUAUUGGUACGGACAUCAUUCUGACCUUCAGGCUCCUCAGUUUAUACUCAGGAAAGUUGGAAAAGGUGGCAGUGGUGAAUAUAUUCCUGAUAAACGAUAUGGAUCCCAAACAUCUUCUACAUCAACUGAUCUGACCAUAACAGCCCUAACCCUGGCAGACACAGCUCUCUACUACUGUGCUCUAGAAACACAGUGAUACAAAGUGUAGAAGAGGCUGUACAAAAACCUGAACACAGAUAUCUGACUACUCUUCAAAGAGGAGGGAAGUGGUAUUCAAAGCACAGCUUCAUAUCAGAUGGAUUCUGCUAAUUCCUGUUUUAUCAGAGUCACUGUGGUUACAGCUGCUAAUGAAACACUGUGGGAGGAUUCACAUGAGCAGCAAAUCCACAUCAACCACAAACCAACUGUAGGAACGUUCAGACACAAUAAAAACUGUCAAACAUCAAAA
Molecule: long non-coding RNA, 680 nt
Organism: Oreochromis aureus
Lineage: Eukaryota; Metazoa; Chordata; Actinopteri; Cichliformes; Cichlidae
Exons: 2
Source: RefSeq, a predicted model, not a curated record